GGCGGUGCUCCCGGGGGUUGGUGCUGGGUCUGGUUGUGAAAGGUAGAUUGUGUUUUUGCUGUAGAAGCUUUGAGUAUUUUCUGUAUGUAGUACUGGCUUUACUGAACUUACAGCCCUCUUGUGAAAGAGCUGUUUGCCUUCUGCUAAGAAAGUUGCUGAGCAGAGUUAAAAAGUUAAAGAUUCGGGGUGUUCUGAUUGGGGUGGAAUUGAGGUGGGAAAGAAAGACCAUAUAAAGGGAAAUUGCAUGUACCCGCUCUCUGUUUCACGCUUUCCACGAGGUUCGUGAAUGCAGAAUGAAGCUGUACUUGCUAAACGUUGUGCUGUUUUUUUGCUGUUGCCGAAGUGGGGCAGUGACCUGGGAGUACUACAUCGGGAUUAUAGAGACAGCAUGGGACUGUGCUCCUGGUAGUACUGAUAUCAUAUCUGGACAACGUUUUGCAGAAGAAGAUGCUUUUAAAAUGAAGUAGAACUAUACUAAAUGAAGAGUGAAGAAGUAUAUCACUAAUAAGAAGAGUCUUCUCCUUGCUGACUGUGAAGUCAACGUAACAUGAUACUUGUUGGUUUUAACUGGCUUUGGAAGAUUAUGCAGAACUUGAAGCACGUACAAAAAUGUUGAGCAGGAAGACCUGUUGUUUGACUUAUAAGCAGCAGAAAAUUGUGUCAAGUAUCCUUAUCUUCAGUCUACAAAAUAGGCAAGCUGAAGUCUUCCUUAAAAGAGGACCGCAAAGGAUAGGAAGCAUUUCUAAGAAGGCUGUCUACCCUCAGUACACUGAUGUUUUAUAUGAUGUGAUAGUUGAGAAACCUUCCUGGCUGGGUGUUUUAGGCCCUAUCAUUAAAGGAGAAGUUGGUGAUUCCAUUGUUGUUCACUUGAAAAACUUUGCUUCCAGAAACUACACACUGCAUCCACAUGGUGUAAAAUAUACAAAGGAAAACGAAGGUAAGCUUGAGUCCACUGCUUGAGUCCAAGUCAGAAUUUAACAAAAGCUUUUGUCAUCAAAGAUACAACUGCCUAAGCGAAUUAUCUUCUGAAACAAGACACACUCAGUUUAAAAUAGGAGCUGAUUAAGAACUUCUGGUAUUUGUUCAAGAGUGAAAUACUGAGCCAAAAGUGGGGUUCGUGUAGAAGGCAAUUUUAGAUCAACGUUCCAUCUGAAAUAAGGGUGAUGUAGGGAUGUCUGAAGGAAAAAAAACCGAUGCUGUUGUUAAGAAAAUACUGUUUGUAUAAGUUAUAACUCUUAACGGUAUUAAGAAUUCUGAAUUAUACACAAGAUAUAAGAUACACAAGUUCCUUAAAACAGGCAAAUGCCUUCAGCUUAGAUAAAUUAGCCAUCACGCUUUCAGAUGUACUGUAACAAUGCUACUGGUAUUAGUGAAGACAAUAGUUGUUGGCAAUAGGGGAGACUUUCAAGCUGUGAAACACUGCUGCAGUUUCACUUAAAUUAGUGGAGUCCUUGCAUAUUGACAGGCAGAAGAGUCGCCUUCUCUUCUGGACAAUCUAUGGAGUGUUUUUGUAGCAUCUUUUAUGCAUACAGCAACCCAUGAAUGUGCCAUCUGUCAGAAAGAGCAGUGUGUCCCUCCUGAGGAAAUACUGUGAUUCCAGUUUCCUCCUUGAAAACUACUGAAUGUAGUAUGAUGACAUCUAAACCUGAGGCUGUAGCCUGACAAUUCACUCUGCCAGAUGCACCUCACUGGGUAGUUUUCCAUACUAUUAUCUGCAAGAAAGACUGCACUGGAAUAUAGCCACUGGAAGUUUUAUUAAGAUGCCUUAAAAACUGUGUGAAUUAUUGAGUAGAUACUGUCAAAAGUAGUCUUUGAAAAUUUUUCAGUGGGGAAAAAAAUUGUGAAAUAUUAGUUUAACAUCUAAUAUUUUUAAAGGGUUUUCAUUACAUCAAAUAUGUGACUUGGCAUUGACGCCCUAU
Centrocercus urophasianus (Greater sage-grouse) is the source of this 1919-nucleotide RNA transcript. It is a transcript of the gene named ferroxidase HEPHL1-like, with no coding region annotated. The record is from RefSeq and is a predicted model, not a curated record. The transcript has 3 exons. Lineage: Eukaryota; Metazoa; Chordata; Aves; Galliformes; Phasianidae.